AAUCCUGAAGAGAUUUUGGGAGUUGCUCGCAAGAGAACCGGAACACAGGUGCUGCAUGGCUGUCGUCAGCUCGUGUCGUGAGAUUGUUGGGUUAAGUCCCGCAACGAGCGCAACCCUUGUCAUUAGUUGCCAUCAUUUGUUGGGCACUCUAAUGAGACUGCCGGUGACAAACCGGAGGAAGGUGGGGAUGACGUCAAGUCCUCAUGGCCCUUAUGGGUAGGGCUUCACACGUCAUACAAUGGUCGGUACAGAGGGUUGCCAACCCGCGAGGGGGAGCUAAUCCCACAAAGCCGAUCGUAGUCCGGAUCGCAGUCUGCAACUCGACUGCGUGAAGUCGGAAUCGCUAGUAAUCGUGGAUCAGCAUGUCACGGUGAAUACGUUCCCGGGUCUU
RNAcentral lists this ribosomal RNA (391 nucleotides) under uncultured Rhodocyclaceae bacterium. RNAcentral describes it as "bacterial SSU rRNA". It matches the Rfam family "Bacterial small subunit ribosomal RNA", at positions 994 to 1382 of the family's 1533-position model. The record is from RNAcentral. Lineage: Bacteria; Pseudomonadati; Pseudomonadota; Betaproteobacteria; Rhodocyclales; Rhodocyclaceae.